GGGUCAGUAGGUUGGUCGUGCCACCGGUACGUACUGGUCUCACUGAUUCCUCCUUCCUGAAGAACCGUAAUGCCAUUAAUUUGGUGUUGCGGGGGAACAGGACUGUUACUUUGAAUAAAUUAGAGUGUUUAAAGCAAGCUAACGCUUGAAUACAUUAGCAUGGAAUAAUGAAAUAGGACGAUCGAUCCUAUUUUGUUGGUUUCUAGGAUUGACGUA
RNAcentral lists this ribosomal RNA (216 nucleotides) under Glomeromycotina sp. RNAcentral's name for it is "partial small subunit ribosomal RNA". The stretch from base 40 to 216 matches the Rfam family "Eukaryotic small subunit ribosomal RNA", at positions 686 to 864 of the family's 1831-position model. The record is from RNAcentral. Lineage: Eukaryota; Fungi; Glomeromycota.